CAGUCGCCAGGGAAUACGAAGGGUGCAAGCGUUACUCGGAAUUACUGGGCGUAAAGCGUGCGUAGGUGGUGGUUUAAGUCCGUUGUGAAAGCCCUGGGCUCAACCUGGGAAUUGCAGUGGAUACUGGGUCACUAGAGUGUGGUAGAGGAUAGUGGAAUUUCCGGUGUAGCAGUGAAAUGCGUAGAGAUCGGAAGGAACAUCUGUGGCGAAGGCGACUAUCUGGGCCAACACUGACACUGAGGCACGAAAGCGUGGGGAGCAAACAGGAUUAGAUACCCGGGUAGUCCCUGUCUCUUAUACA
Molecule: ribosomal RNA, 301 nt
Filed under: uncultured bacterium
Lineage: Bacteria
Description: partial 16S ribosomal RNA
Rfam family: Bacterial small subunit ribosomal RNA
Source: RNAcentral